RNAcentral lists this ribosomal RNA (459 nucleotides) under uncultured bacterium. Its description in RNAcentral is "partial 16S ribosomal RNA". It matches the Rfam family "Bacterial small subunit ribosomal RNA", at positions 338 to 795 of the family's 1533-position model. The record is from RNAcentral.
CCUACGGGAGGCAGCAGUGAGGAAUAUUGGUCAAUGGCCGAGAGGCUGAACCAGCCAAGUCGCGUGAGGGAAGAAUGUCCUAUGGAUUGUAAACCUCUUUUGUCAGGGAGCAAAGUCACCCACGUGUGGGUGUUGGAGAGUACCUGAAGAAAAAGCAUCGGCUAACUCGGUGCCAGCAGCCGCGGUAAUACGGAGGAUUCGAGCGUUAUCCGGAUUUAUUGGGUUUAAAGGGUGCGUAGGUGGGUUAUCAAGUCAGCGUGAAAAUCGUGGAGCUCAACUCCAUCCAGCCGUUGAACCUGAUGAUCUUGAGUGGGCGAGAGGUAUGCGGAAGGCGGGGUGUAGUGGUGAAAUGCAUAGAUAGCACGCAGAACUCCGGUGGCGAAGGCAGAAUACCGGCGCCCGACUGACGCUGAAGCACGAAAGCGUGGGUAUCGAACAGGAUUAGAGACCCUGGUAGUC